UUGGCUGAAAAAAAUAUCCAGUGAUUUGUCUUCCGUCAAAUCGGGAGAAUGUAGUAUGCUACCUUGUUCGCCUCAAACCAAGAAUUUCAAUCUACGCGAGCUUUUAAAAGCGUCAGUAAAGGGACAACUUGCUUUCAGUUAUCAAGAAAGGCAUGGCUACUUGGACAGUAGAAACCAAAAAAAUGUAACACAUUGCAUCGUUGACAACUAUAUUGGUUUAGGAUGCAAAAUGCAAUACUCAGAUAUGAGGGAAUGGGCGAAUGAAAUUGUUGCGGUAUUUCCUAAAGAAAUGAAGGAAUUUCACUUUUUGGAAAGAAAAAUGGGAAAACAGAAUCCGAUUGGUAAAUUGUUCUCGCGUUGGGCUAAUGUCCUAAAGUUGGAAAACAAAGCUAAUUCUUUUACGCAGGAAGCUCAUGGAGAUGUUUUUGACGAUAACGUUUUGGAAAAAAGUGUUGGUUGGCACAUAACUGCACACCUUGGGAAAAAGUUAAAAAGUUUUGGGUAGAUACAUACAUGCACGUUUAGAAAUAAAUGUAAGAGGUCUCUAACGGAUUUGCUAGCAGACUGGCCGCGCUAUAAUGAUUUUAACGGUUACGAAUUGGUUGAUAUUGAUUUUAAUGCCAUGCAUCCAGAUAUUAGAAACGAGCUGUUCUUAAAACUUUACAAGUUUUAUAAAGUAAUCCUUCCUAUCUUAAAUGCGGAAGUAAAAGACCAAGCCAGCCGAGAGUUACUACUUUUGAAACUCAUUUACAAAGAGUUAUCAAAUGAUUCUAAAUAUUGCAUUGUGUUGUUACUGCCCCAUGCGGUUCUUCAGCCACAGCGUCAGAGCAAAACCCACAAACCAACGAUUGGUGACGCUCAAUCAGAGCUUAUAACACCAGCAACUACACCAAAUGAUAUAUUACCAAAGAUUUCGUCCAAAAUUGAGCAAUACGCGAUUAAAAAACAGCAAUUGCAGCCUCAAAUCAUUA
Long non-coding RNA from Bactrocera tryoni, 971 nucleotides. RefSeq lists it as uncharacterized. The record is from RefSeq and is a predicted model, not a curated record. Lineage: Eukaryota; Metazoa; Arthropoda; Insecta; Diptera; Tephritidae. The transcript has 5 exons.